AGGCACCUUUUUGGGAAAUGAUGCAAUUUGGGUGCUUGCAACCAGUUGUCUGGAGGUGCUGAGUGAAGACUGAGUCGAUUGUAACUGAACAAAGGGAAGAUGAAAGAGGCUGUGAAAGAAAUUGUGCCAUUGAGAACAGACGACUUAAUGGAGUUGUAGAGGUGUGUCAGAUGGGAUUUGUCUUCAUCACUGUGAGCUGCCCCUUUGUGUAGCUUCCUAUUGCUUAAAUCACUAGAGCUUCCAGCAAACUGAAGAAUACUCACUUUGUUCAAGCCUGUGAGUUGCAACUGACUUAAUUGCUUAGAAAAAUAUCUUUACAGGGCAAAGCAAAAGCAAACAAAAUGCUCCAAAAGUGCAGAAGACUAGACUAAAAGAGAACUGGCACAGAAGCUAUCACCUUGUAAACAUGAAAAAGCUUCUGAAAACACCUCUGUGUAAGACAGGAUCCAAAGUGUCUUCUCAUCCCACUGACCCUUUGUGGUGACAGUUUCAGUAUCAGCAAACACAGGACCAGCUUUGGUAGCAGCACUCACUGUGCUGUGCUGAAUCACUGGGGGCCAAGCUGAAGAUACAGGGUGCUGCACUGUUGUGCCUGAUCCAUUGCCCUCUCUGAUUUCCAGAAACUGGAUAUAUGAACUUGCAGUAAACAUUUUAAGUGAUUACAGCCCUGGAAAGAAGAGUGAGCUACAUGUGAAAAGGCAUUAAAGUCAGUUCAUGUGAUGCAAACCUUUGUGAUUCCACUUCCCAUGGGAAUACAUCAGAAGACAAGGCACACUAUUAAGAUAACUGUUACAUCAGUGAAGCCCUGCUUUGUAGAACAUUGGUUUGGGAAGUCUCACCUGGUCUAUCAUUGCAAGGAACCAUGUGACAAACUCCUGUUGCCACCCAGACAGCCACCAACCACCCUGUGAAAGAGAUUUGAUUCCAGCAUAUAAAUUCCUGUACAAGCAAGUCUCGGCAAACAAAGCCCUUCAUCAAGAUGAAGCUGCUGCAUGAGCUUGAAUUAUUACACUCUCAGCCCUGCUGUGAAAUCAACAGGAAGAACAGGACAGUGCAGCACAUCCGUGGAAAAUCUGCCUCUCUGCGUGACUUCACAGAUCACAGCAUCUCCUGAGACACUGUUACUCUCCUGCCAAUAUCAAUACACCACCAGGAAGGUUCCCAGUGAGCUGUGGUGCACUGGCCAGACCUUUGGUCAGGUCCAGAACUGCACUGAUGUUUUUUUGCUGGCCAGUCUGUCAGAUAGUGUCUGUGUCUGUGGCACCUCUGUGACACCAAGCCAGCAGUGCUGAUGGCACCUCACGUCUCACGAAGCCUUCACUGUGCUGAAGACCCUUGGGUGCUGAUGAUUAUCUUUGGGUACUGAUGAUUAUUUUUGCCUCUUGCCAGCUUUUGUUUCCUCCUUCAUUUUCUUCGUUGUUUUCUGCAACAGUU
Long non-coding RNA from Neopelma chrysocephalum (saffron-crested tyrant-manakin), 1434 nucleotides. RefSeq lists it as uncharacterized. Lineage: Eukaryota; Metazoa; Chordata; Aves; Passeriformes; Pipridae. The transcript is spliced from 6 exons. The record is from RefSeq and is a predicted model, not a curated record.